GAUGAACGCUGGCGGCGUGCCUAAUACAUGCAAGUCGAGCGAACAGACGAGGAGCUUGCUCCUCUGACGUUAGCGGCGGACGGGUGAGUAACACGUGUAUCACCUACUUAUAAGACUGGGAUAACUUCGGGAAACUGGAGCUAAUACCGGAUAAUAUAUUGAACCGCAUGGUUCAAUAGUGAAAGACGGUUUUGCUGUCACUUAUAGAUGGAUCCGCGCCGCAUUAGCGAGUUGGUAAGGUAACGGCUUACCAAGGCAACGAUGCGUAGCCGACCUGAGAGGGUGAUAGGCCACACUGGAACUGAGACACGGUCCAGACUCCUACGGGAGGCAGCAGUCGGGAAUCUUCCGCAAUGGGCGAAAGCCUGACGGAGCAACGCCGCGUGAGUGAUGAAGGUCUUCGGAUCGUAAAACUCUGUUAUUAGGGAAGAACAAAUGUGUAAGUAAAUAUGCACGUCUUGACGGUACCUAAUCAGAAAGCCACGGCUAACUACGUG
This 497-nucleotide ribosomal RNA is filed under the name uncultured bacterium. RNAcentral's name for it is "partial 16S ribosomal RNA". It matches the Rfam family "Bacterial small subunit ribosomal RNA", at positions 28 to 507 of the family's 1533-position model. The record is from RNAcentral.